This 364-nucleotide long non-coding RNA is filed under the name Oryza sativa Indica Group (long-grained rice). RNAcentral describes it as "lncRNA OsMH63_04G025500". The record is from RNAcentral. Lineage: Eukaryota; Viridiplantae; Streptophyta; Magnoliopsida; Poales; Poaceae.
AAAUAUUAAAAUGAGUUUUAAAAUUAAGAUUAAAAAUUUAAAUUUUAGACACGAUGAUGUAGCGCCAUCUGAUAUGACGAGGAUGGCCACGGCCCAUGACUCCAUGGGCCAUGAGGGAGGCGUGCGUGAGAUCGAGAUCUGGCCCGUCUAUCUACUGGGCUCGCACGAGCACGGCGCGGCACCACCCCAGUCGCACGCGGACUGGGCUGAGAAUUCAUGGGCCGGGAGACCAAAACGUAGACGCAAUUUGAAUAAGAUUAUUGGCAGCCAUGCAAUGCAUUAUACAAACGGUAGUCCUCGGAGUGACGUCACAGAAUUGACACUCGGAAGGUUCAUCUUCAUCAUAUCAGAUUAUCAGUCCUAA